CAGCAAUGAUAAGUGUGUUAUACUUAACUCUGCUGCACUAAUCACCACAGAAACGAUUUCAGUAGCAUCUGAGGUGAGAGAACAAGGGACUGUCCCAUUCAGGGAAGAGACAGUUACAUUUUAGGCUUCAAUAUAUAGAAACAUAGUUUGUAAUCAAAGCUAUAGAAUAUUCUAUCUAUCUAUCUAGCAUCUUACUGACACCAUUGGGACCCAGAACUGCACAGAUCAUGGUAAAAAUCAUCCAAAAAGGCAAAAGACCAUAACAGAACUGAGGGUCGUCACUCGUCCC
Pelobates cultripes (western spadefoot toad) is the source of this 289-nucleotide non-coding RNA. Lineage: Eukaryota; Metazoa; Chordata; Amphibia; Anura; Pelobatidae. The record is from the annotation of a GenBank genome assembly.